Molecule: transfer RNA, 85 nt
Filed under: Candidatus Atribacteria bacterium
Lineage: Bacteria; Pseudomonadati; Atribacterota; Atribacteria
Description: tRNA-Leu
Rfam family: tRNA
About the family: Transfer RNA (tRNA) molecules are approximately 80 nucleotides in length. Their secondary structure includes four short double-helical elements and three loops (D, anti-codon, and T loops).
Source: RNAcentral
GCCGAAGUGGCGAAAUUGGCAGACGCACUGGACUCAAAAUCCAGCGGGCGUUGAGCCCGUGCCGGUUCGACUCCGGCCUUCGGCA